RNAcentral lists this ribosomal RNA (1078 nucleotides) under uncultured eukaryote. Its description in RNAcentral is "bacterial SSU rRNA". It matches the Rfam family "Eukaryotic small subunit ribosomal RNA", at positions 577 to 1685 of the family's 1831-position model. The record is from RNAcentral.
CGGUAAUUCCAGCUCCAAUAGCGUAUAUUAAAGUUGUUGCAGUUAAAAAGCUCGUAGUUGGAUUUCUGGCUUGCGACGAUGGGUCCACCUCGCGGUGAGCACCUAUUUGUUGUAGCCAUCCUCUCGGGGGUGCAUGGUGUCAUUAACUUGAUGCUUUGUGUUGUCGAGACCUUUACUUUGAAAAAAUUAGAGUGUUCAAAGCAGGCGAUUGCUUGAAUACAUUAGCAUGGAAUAAUGGAAUAGGACUUUGGUCUUAUUUUGUUGGUUUCUAAGACCGAAGUAAUGAUUAAUAGGGACAGUUGGGGGCAUUAGUAUUUAAUUGUCAGAGGUGAAAUUCUUGGAUUUAUGAAAGACUAACUACUGCGAAAGCAUUUGCCAAGGAUGCUUCCAUUAAUCAAGAACGAAAGUUAGGGGAUCGAAGACGAUCAGAUACCGUCGUAGUCUUAACCAUAAACUAUGCCGACUCAGGAUCAUCGAGGUAGUUUUAGCCACGGUGGCACUGUAUGAGAAGUCAAAGUUUUUGGGUUCUGGGGGGAGUAUGGUCGCAAGGCUGAAACUUAAAGGAAUUGACGGAAGGGCACCACCAGGAGUGGAGCCUGCGGCUUAAUUUGACUCAACACGGGGAAACUCACCAGGUUCAGACAUAGUAAGGAUUGACAGAUUGAUAGCUCUUUCUUGAUUCUAUGGGGUGGUGGUGCAUGGCCGUUCUUAGUUGGUGGAGUGAUUUGUCUGGGUAAUUCCGUUAACGAACGAGACCUUAACCUGCUAAAUAGUUACACGAAUUACGAUUCCUGGGCAACUUAUUAGAGGGCCUAACGGUGUUUAACCGAUGGAAGUUCGAGGCAAUAUCAGGUAUGUGAUGCCAUUAGAUGUUCUGCGCCCCACGCGCGCUACCAUGACAGGGACAACGACUUUACAACCUUCUCCGGUAGGUGAGUGUAAUCUUCCGAGCCCUUGUCGUGUUGGGAUUAGAUUUUUGUAAUAUUUCAUCUCAAACGAGGAAUUUAUAGUAAGCGCGACUCAUCAGAUCGCGUUGAUUCCGUCCCUGCCCUCACUACACACCACCCAAGGGUGAAUC